Molecule: ribosomal RNA, 39 nt
Filed under: Sporothrix globosa
Lineage: Eukaryota; Fungi; Ascomycota; Sordariomycetes; Ophiostomatales; Ophiostomataceae
Description: partial 28S ribosomal RNA
Source: RNAcentral
ACCUCGGAUCAGGUAGGACUACCCGCUGAACUUAAGCAU